RNAcentral lists this ribosomal RNA (266 nucleotides) under uncultured bacterium. RNAcentral's name for it is "partial 16S ribosomal RNA". It matches the Rfam family "Bacterial small subunit ribosomal RNA", at positions 88 to 354 of the family's 1533-position model. The record is from RNAcentral.
UAGUUUAGUGGCGGACGGGUGAGUAACACGUGAGCAACCUGCCUUCGAGAGGGGAAUAACGGCUGGAAACGGUCGCUAAUACCGCAUAACAUACAGGAGGGACAUCCCUUUUGUAUCAAAGAUUUAUCGCUCGAAGAUGGGCUCGCGUCCGAUUAGGUAGUUGGUGAGGUAACGGCCCACCAAGCCGACGAUCGGUAGCCGGACUGAGAGGUUGAACGGCCACAUUGGGACUGAGACACGGCCCAGACUCCUACGGGAGGCAGCAG